AGAUGAGAUGAUGAAUCAUAUUAAUAUCCCUAAUGGUUUGAUUGGCUGAUAUGAUGGCAUAAAUACUAAAUGAAUCUUAUCAUCU
Molecule: small nucleolar RNA, 85 nt
Organism: Lolium rigidum
Lineage: Eukaryota; Viridiplantae; Streptophyta; Magnoliopsida; Poales; Poaceae
Product: small nucleolar RNA Z102/R77
Exons: 1
Source: RefSeq, a predicted model, not a curated record